GAUGAACGCUGGCGGCGUGCCUAAUACAUGCAAGUCGAGCGAACGGACGAGAAGCUUGCUUCUCUGAUGUUAGCGGCGGACGGGUGAGUAACACGUGGAUAACCUACCUAUAAGACUGGGAUAACUUCGGGAAACCGGCGCUAAUACCGGAUGAUAUUUUGAACCGCAUGGUUCAAAAGUGAAAGACGGUCUUGCUGUCACUUAUCGAUGGAUCUGGGCUGCAUUAGCUAGUUGGUAAGGUAACGGCUUACCAAGGCAACGAUGCAUAGCCGACCUGAGAGGGUGAUCGGCCACACUGGAAGUGAGACACGGUCAUGGCGCCUACGGGAGGCAGCAGUAGGGUAUCUGCCGCAGUGGGCGAAAGCCUGACGGAGCAACGCCACGUGAGUGAUGAAGAUCUUCGGAUCGUAAAACUCUGUUAUGAGGGAAGAACAUAUGUGUAAGUAACUGUGCACAGCUUGACGGUACCUAAUCAGAAAGCCACGGCUAACUACGUG
Molecule: ribosomal RNA, 497 nt
Filed under: uncultured bacterium
Lineage: Bacteria
Description: partial 16S ribosomal RNA
Rfam family: Bacterial small subunit ribosomal RNA
Source: RNAcentral